This is an unclassified non-coding RNA of Erinaceus europaeus (western European hedgehog), 307 nucleotides long. Its record names the gene 7SK. It matches the Rfam family "7SK RNA". From Rfam's summary of the family: 7SK was discovered as an abundant small nuclear RNA in the mid-70s but a possible function has only recently been suggested. Two independent studies have found that 7SK RNA binds the CDK9/cyclin T complex (known as elongation factor P-TEFb). P-TEFb activates transcription by phosphorylating the C-terminal domain of RNA polymerase II. Lineage: Eukaryota; Metazoa; Chordata; Mammalia; Eulipotyphla; Erinaceidae. The record is from Ensembl.
GGAUAUGAGGGCCAUUUGACUACGACAUCUGUCACCCCAUUGAUCACCAGGGUUGAUUCAGCUGAUCUCGAUGGCUUGAUGGGUGUUUCCUUCCUCCCUCUCUGCUCCAUGUGUGUCCCUCCCAAAACCAUGUGCUAGGAAGAAGAGGACUUCCUUCUCCAAUAGAGGACUGCCUUUCAGUUGAGACUAUACAAGAAGCUGUGCUCCCCUGCUGAAACCUCUAAAACAAGUUCUAAAAAGGACCAGGUCAAAGAUAUCCUAUAACAUAUUUGAAGCAAUAUUUUAAUUAAUUAAUUUUGGAUAGAGA